Molecule: transfer RNA, 72 nt
Filed under: Leucobacter sp. cx-87
Lineage: Bacteria; Bacillati; Actinomycetota; Actinomycetes; Micrococcales; Microbacteriaceae
Also listed under: 1 other name
Rfam family: tRNA
About the family: Transfer RNA (tRNA) molecules are approximately 80 nucleotides in length. Their secondary structure includes four short double-helical elements and three loops (D, anti-codon, and T loops).
Source: Rfam by way of RNAcentral
GCCCCGAUAGCUCAGUGGUAGAGCACUUCCAUGGUAAGGAAGGGGUCCCCAGUUCAAACCUGGGUCGGGGCU